Syngnathoides biaculeatus (alligator pipefish) is the source of this 2077-nucleotide long non-coding RNA. RefSeq lists it as uncharacterized. Lineage: Eukaryota; Metazoa; Chordata; Actinopteri; Syngnathiformes; Syngnathidae. The transcript is spliced from 3 exons. The record is from RefSeq and is a predicted model, not a curated record.
UCUUUUGUUUGUUGGCGUCCUGUUUUUCGGAGCCCAUGCCAUUUCCUCUCCGUGCAACGUCUCGUCUUGUUUCCGGUUUUGGUUUAUUCAAGGUUUUCUUUUGUCACUUUAGUUAUUAAUUAUUGGACUCUGUUUAGGUUGGCAUUUCUGACCAGGGAAUAUCAUUUUUUUGAGACUCUUUGGGUCCUGCGCUCGGGUCCUUCAGAAUCUGAAUCAGGCCAAGUGUGUAACAACACAAGGAAUUUUUGUCCGGAAGUCGGUGCUGCCUUGGUACGACGUACAGAACAAAGAACAAGGAACAACACAGCAACAAGAGCAAGAAACACUUCUGUUUAUAGGAACUCUUCCUUAUGAAUGGGCGAUGACCGUGGUGUCAUUUGCGAACUUCUGGAGUUUGGCAGUCGAUCGUGUAGAGCGAGAAGAGCAGAGGGGAGAGGACGCAACCUUGGGGUGCCCCAGUGCUGAUAGUGCCCGUGGAUGAGGUGGGUGUCCCCCAGCACUCUCCUUCUGCAUCCUGCCCCGUCAGGAAGUUGUAAAUUCGCCGGGAGGUGGCAGGCGAGACGCUGAGCUGGAGAAGUUUGGAGGAGUUCAGGGAUGAUGGCGUUGAACGCAGAGCUGAAGUCCACGAACAGGAUCCGCGCAUAGACUCGAGCGGUGUUUCUUUUCCCUUCGAAGAGGAAACGUUUGACGGAGGCGAUUCCAAACACGGAACAGCCCCCCCCAGGCACCCCAGGGGAAGCAGCUUCAGCAGGGGAUACCCAGACUUCCCUUUCCCCAGCCACUUCUUCCAGCUCUUCCGGAGGGAUCCCGAGGUGUUCCCGGACCAGCCGAGAGGCGUAGUCUCUCCCUGGGUCGUCUCCGCGGUCUCUUUCUGGUGGGACAUGACCCAGAACACCUCACCUGGGAGGGGUCCGAAUCAGAUGCCCCAGCCACCUCAUCUGGCUCCUCUCAAUGGGGAGGAGCAGCGGGUCGAGACUGAGCCCCUCCCUGAUGACCGAGCUUCUCACGCAUUCUCUCAGGGAAAGCCCGGACACCCUGGGGUGGAAACUCAUUUCAGCCGCUUGUAUAUGUUACAUAAAUGUAAUAUUUAGGCUCCAGCUCACCCCCAAAUGAGGUAAGAGGGGGGAAAAAAGUUUGGACAUUUCUACGAGUUGAUAUGAAAGAUGGGAAAAUAACAAAGCUUGCACAUUCCAGAAGGGGGAAACCAAACAAACAAAAUCAAAACUUGUUUUGAGUAAUAUUAAUGCCUUUUUGCUUUUUUUUUUUUUUUUUUUUUUAUAAGACAAAGAAAAAAAAAAAAAAAAGGAUUACGAUGGGAUUUUUGUGAAAAGAAUCUCAAGAUUUUCUUAUUUUGCUGUGGAAGAUGGAUGGAUGGCUGCCGCGGGCCUCCCAGUGCGGCGCUUGUCUCCGCCAUUCGUGUUGUCUCAAUUUGGUGCCGCGGCAGCGCCGCCAUGUUUCCCCGCAACACGUUUGACUCGAUUUGCUUUUGCACACCAGGAAGCCGACGUGAUGAAAGGUGACGCUUAUGACAGGCAAACUAAAGGUGGCAGACUGCGACGGAGCUGCACUCAAGAUCAAACUCCGCAAAAAGCAACUUGUGGAAGCGGAUUUUUUGUUUUUGUUUUGUUUUGACGCGGAUGCGUUGCGAUCGUCUUCGGCACGUCGCUCCGUCCCCCGCAUCCCCACCCCCACCCCCACCCCAAGGGGGCUUCGCGUGUCGCUUUGUUGAUCUAUUUCGGUCGCGGCUGUGCGGCGAUGUAAGCAGAAAUGACGAUUUGGCGGCGCGAGAGACGAGAGGGGCCCGGGCGGAUCGAUAACCUCGUCAAACCCCGAUCACGUUCGACGUGUUGUGUCAUUGAGUUCUGUUCAAAUGUCACGGCGUCGCAAACGUGAAUUGAUAUUCUGUAUGAAAGGCAGUGAAUACAAUGAGGCCUUCACUUCAAAUCAACUUUCCCCAUUGAAAUGAAUGGAAAUGCUUUUAAUCUGUUCCCCCCCCCCACCUCGAAAAACACUAAGUCAUGUAUUUAAUGUUUAAUAAUUAAGAAACCUCAUAAUAAACAUGUACAUUUUUAUUUGU